This 116-nucleotide ribosomal RNA is filed under the name Candidatus Iainarchaeum sp. Lineage: Archaea; Nanobdellati; Candidatus Iainarchaeota; Candidatus Iainarchaeia; Candidatus Iainarchaeales; Candidatus Iainarchaeaceae. The record is from RNAcentral.
AUUAGCGGCCAUAGUUGCCGGGAAACACCUGGACCCUUUUCGAACCCAGAAGUUAAGACGGCAAACGUUGCCAUUGCACUGGGAUUUCUCCUGGAGCGGUGCAACCGCUGCUAAUC